GCUUACGGCCAUACCAACCUGGCGAUGCCCGAUCUCGUCUGAUCUCGGAAGCUAAGCCAGGCUUGGGCCUGGUUAGUACUUGGGAUGGGAGACCGCCUGGGAAUACCAGGUGCUGUAAGCU
Molecule: ribosomal RNA, 121 nt
Filed under: Carassius auratus (goldfish)
Lineage: Eukaryota; Metazoa; Chordata; Actinopteri; Cypriniformes; Cyprinidae
Source: RNAcentral